AGAGUUUGAUCCUGGCUCAGGAUGAACGCUAGCGACAGGCUUAACACAUGCAAGUCGAGGGGCAGCGGGUAGAUGAGCUUGCUCAUUUAUGCCGGCGACCGGCGCACGGGUGAGUAACACGUAUGCAACCUGCCCGUCUCAGGGGGAUAAUCGUCGGAAACGGCGUCUAAUACCCCGUAUGAAGCUGGACGGCAUCGUCUGGUUUGGAAAGAAUAUCGGAGACGGAUGGGCAUGCGGCGCAUUAGCUAGUUGGCGGGGUAACGGCCCACCAAGGCGACGAUGCGUAGGGGUUCUGAGAGGAAGGUCCCCCACACUGGUACUGAGACACGGACCAGACUCCUACGGGAGGCAGCAGUGAGGAAUAUUGGUCAAUGGGCGAGAGCCUGAACCAGCCAAGUCGCGUGAGGGAGUACUGCCCUAUGGGUUGUAAACCUCUUUUGACGGGGAGCAAAAGCCGGACGUGUCCGGCUGUGAGAGUACCCGAAGAAAAAGCAUCGGCUAACUACGUGCCAGCAGCCGCGGUAAUACGUAGGUGGCGAGCGUUAUCCGGAAUGAUUGGGCGUAAAGGGUGCGCAGGCGGUCCUGCAAGUCUGGAGUGAAACGUAUGAGCUCAACUCAUGCAUGGCUCUGGAAACUGGAGGACUGGAGAGCAGGAGAGGGCGGUGGAACUCCAUGUGUAGCGGUAAAAUGCGUAGAUAUAUGGAAGAACACCAGUGGCGAAGGCGGCCGCCUGGCCUGUUGCUGACGCUGAGGCACGAAAGC
This 762-nucleotide ribosomal RNA is filed under the name uncultured bacterium. RNAcentral describes it as "bacterial SSU rRNA". It matches the Rfam family "Bacterial small subunit ribosomal RNA", at positions 8 to 760 of the family's 1533-position model. The record is from RNAcentral.